Non-coding RNA from Salmo salar (Atlantic salmon), 2923 nucleotides. The record is from RefSeq and is a predicted model, not a curated record. Lineage: Eukaryota; Metazoa; Chordata; Actinopteri; Salmoniformes; Salmonidae.
CAGAUCUGCUCUCAGGAAUGCUGGGCUCGGACAAAUACAGACUAAGCUGGCAGACUAAGCUGGAAUCUCUGCAGAACCCUUACAUAAACAGACACCUGGUCUACUGUAUCUGGGACCUUUUCCUCAAGUUCCUCGUCCCUGAAAGUCUCUCCAAAAACGCAGAGAAACUACCACCAUGAAAGUCAUGGGAGCGAUACUGGGGUAUACACACGUUUAAUCAACUGUCAGUGAAUAGUCCUCGAUGAAAGUCCAGCCUAAUGUAUCUGGAUAAAUUCCAUUAUUCAUGUGUCCCCACCUUUAACUCUGACAUUUUGGACCCGAGGUCAUCUGGGUCUGUCUCUGAUUUAGUCCAUAACAUUUGUGGGUCUCAAACAUCGGCCACACGUCCGGAGCAGCUUUGAUUACCCAACACCUGUUUUCUGUUUGAUCAGAAUACGUGUCUGAUCUCCAAAAGCCCAAACACACGUACGUGUGGGAAAAGCCGCCUUCCCAAACUUCCCAAAUCCAUCCUUUUUCCUGCUUCCUAAAGCCUCCAGCUUUGGACCAAACUCAUUUCAGAUUGACUCCACACCAACAUGAUCCCUUGUGGUCUUUCCGUAUUCUAUUGUGGAAGUCUAAUUAGAUUGUUUCCCCACGUUAGGCUUACUGUGUCGUGCUUUGUCCUUUCGGGAUGACUUGCCUAUGUGUUCCCCGUUAUAUGCCGCUAUUCCUUUUGAUCCCCUUGGCUCUACACCAAGCUGCACAUGUGCUGUGUUGCAUUAAUACUGUACUCCCUUACUCCUGAGGCCUGGCUCGUACUGAUAUGGUCCACUGACAUGUUUCUGUUAAAGUGGUCACUCACACGUUUUGAACUUAUGAUGAAGGCCACUGCACUUUAAAGCGCUUGAUAGCCACUUUUCCCAUGGGCCUAACAUGGUUGUUUUAAAUAAUAUAUUCUACAAGUACAUGCAAUUUUCAGUGGUCUCUCUGCUACUUUUUAAAAUUUUGAUACAUUUUACAAGUACCACCAACACAGUGAAUGGGAAAAUGAAUUCAAAGGGAACUCCCUCUGCUGGUGAUUUGCUGAAUGUGCAAUCAUACUGGAGGGCUGUGAUUGGUUAAUGGCCUAUAAUGUAAAUUUCGAUGUAUAGCGUUUAUAAUUUCUUUCAAAGUAGCAGAGAGCCCACUCUGGAAAUGUGAUGUUUUUGAAGAGUAUAUUGUUUCAAACAAUAUGUUUAAAAAUAAGCUAAAUCAAAAAGGGCACUUUUGAGAUAUUAAUAAUAUUAUUGUUAAUGUUAAAUCAAUUAAUGUGAAAAACUGUAUUUCAGAUUAUAGCCAUAAUGAACAUUUCAGAGGCGUACAAAGGAGUAUGAUGACACCAUGAUGUCUGUACCAUGUACCGUUUACGGAUCAUAGGGUCUUACAGGAGGCAUGUAUAGGUAGGUCUAAAAAGGGCCUAAAAGGGACACUUUCAUCAUGAUUUUCUCAAAAAAGCAUGUUACACAUCCUUCCUCUCAAUUCAGAUUUUAUGUGAGAAUUGCCAGAACAAUCUGAGAUGCACAAAAUAUUUUUGGGCCAUGCUGAUGUGUAAUCGCCUAACUAUACCUAACCUAUGUCUUUGAAACUGGCAUAAAGACUUCUCAACAUUGAAUGAAACAAGAUGUUCACCGUGUUUAACAAUCCCCACUCUUACUGAUGCUUAUUAAUGCCUUUAACUGUGUACGGUAGGUCUGAUGCCAGGUAAAGCUCAUGCAGGCAGCAUAGUAGCAUAAAUCUCAUGUCAGAGGUCCAAUAUGUCCAACACAAUCUGUUGCACUCAUCUUUGUCUUAAAAUAAGAUAUGUAAUUCUUUAUUCCUGUAUUCUUGUUAACGUGAUUGACUUAUUUGAUUGUGUCUAACUUAUUUAUUCGAUUGUAAUAAUGCUUUCUGUGAAAAUGUAUAUUGAUCAAAAAUAAUGAGAGGGAUACCAGUAGUACUGAAGAGAAGGAAAUUAAUACCUGUAGGAAAUGCUUUUAAAUUGCCUUAAACAUGGCUGGAAGAGGUCUCGUCUGUCUUUACUAUGUAGUCUGUGGACAUGCCUUUUGUAUAUCGUGUCACAAAGUAGUAGCAAACCCCAGUGACAAGGUGGGUUCUGAUGUUGUGCUGAAUGUUGUGUACUGUGAUGUUUAUUCCCUCCUGAACACAUUCUUAGCUGUUACCUCUGUUCCUGUUGAAUCCUUUGUGAUGAACAUUAGGGUUAGCUUGCAUUCUGCAAGACCAUUGUCCUGUCCUCAAAUGUAUCACGUCACAUGAAAUGUUCAUGUUCAACACGUAACUCAUUUAACAAGAUUGUGAGUGCUGUUCUCGCAUGGAACACACAGCAAAUCUGAAAGUUUGUUACAUGGCUUUUGUUACAAUUUUUGUUGUUGUUGUGUCAAAUGAUAUUAUGUCCUCUGUAUGGUGCCAUUAUAGACACAAUAUGUUUACCCUCAUGAUAAAAAUAAGUGAUCAGUGAUUAACUAACUUACAGAAGAGGUAUUGUUUGUCAUUUGUUUGGUUUCUCGUCAGAAGGGUUCUGCUUGCAAUGGCUACUAGCUGCUAUUUCAUUGAAGUCUUGCCAUUUCUCACUAACUUCCGUUCUGUCAACACCAAAGCGCUUCCUCAAUUGUAUUUUCUCGAUUCCUCUUGUCCUCUCUCCUUGCCUCCUCAAAACACAUUGGAGGAGAAGGUCAGAGGGGAGGGAGCUAGGAAUCGAGAAAAUACAAUUUACCACUUAAUUACGUGUCUGAUUUGACAUUACAAUCCCAAUUCAGUUUACACCAGUCAGACUUUGGGUGCCAUUUUACAUAUUAAUGCUUUGAAUGUGACUCUUUGUAACUCUGUCAGUGUGGACAUAACUGGACUCACAAGAUUUUACAUUUGCUGGUGUUGAUAAUUUCCAAAACCAAUAAAAUGACCAAAAGUC